UACGUAGGGUGCGAGCGUUGUCCGGAAUUAUUGGGCGUAAAGAGCUCGUAGGCGGUGUGUCGCGUCGGUCGUGAAAACUUUCAGCUUAACUGGGAGCUUGCGGUUGAUACGGGCAUCACUGGAGUUCGGCAGGGGAGACUGGAAUUCCUGGUGUAGCGGUGAAAUGCGCAGAUAUCAGGAGGAACACCGGUGGCGAAGGCGGGUCUCUGGGCCGGUACUGACGCUGAGGCACGAAAGCGUGGGGAGCAAACAGG
Molecule: ribosomal RNA, 254 nt
Filed under: uncultured bacterium
Lineage: Bacteria
Description: partial 16S ribosomal RNA
Rfam family: Bacterial small subunit ribosomal RNA
Source: RNAcentral